Non-coding RNA from Lupinus albus (white lupine), 811 nucleotides. The record is from the annotation of a GenBank genome assembly. Lineage: Eukaryota; Viridiplantae; Streptophyta; Magnoliopsida; Fabales; Fabaceae.
AGCGGAUCAAAAACUAGGAAGGUUAAUUCAGUCUUUUCAAAAUUGAAAGCUGGGCCGCUAUUCUCUCGCACCGGAUCCACGGAAACCCUAAUUCAUUUUUCCUAUAAAUUAAUAACUCGUGCUUAGUCUAAAAGCGCCGUUCCUGGGUAAUCCUCUUCUCUUCCCAUAGCUUUUCGAUUCUUUUUUAGUUUUGAUUUCAAUUUCGUUUUGUUGUUAUUUCAAUUUUAUUUGUUAAUUUUGUUUGCGUUAUGAAUGAGAAAGAGAUGACAGUGAUGACCACAUAAUAUUCAAGCUCAACAGACUGGAAUGCAGGGUUUUCUCUCAUUAGAGAUUUCUUUGCGUGUCGACAACCCCGCUGAACUGAGUCAUCUCUUUCUUUUUUCACUAUUAAAAAAUGUUAUUAAUAAUUUUUGAAUUUAGUGUGUUUUUAUUUGGGGAAAAGAGCGGUUCACGAUGAGGAUUAAAAGCUCCCUCUUCUGAAAUCUUUGAGGAAAUCCGCUGGCAGAAUCGAACCUUAAAACUUAUUGCCACCACUGAGUGAUUUAUCUCUUUCCCUUUUUUUUGUUAUCUUUAUCUUAUUUUUUUUAAUUUACGUUUUUUUGUUAUAAUUAUUUUUUAAAUUUGUUUUAUCUGAAAUUGAAUUUCCGAGGUCAGUGAUGAGUUUAAGAUUUUGCCUACAUUGGAUGAUUAUCUGCUUUUAGAUAUGAUCUGUACAAAUCAACUGAGGCCUACAAACGUAAAAUGUUCUUUUAAUUAUGGUCAAAUAUGUUUACAGUUUCUAUGAAAUAAAUUUGGGAAUGAUAUGUAUUUA